CAGGCCUAACACAUGCAAGUCGAACGAUGUCUUUCGGGACAUAGUGGCGCACGGGUGCGUAACGCGUGGGAAUCUGCCCUGGGGUUCGGGAUAACCGUUGGAAACGACGGCUAAUACCGGAUGAUGAUGAAAAUCCAAAGAUUUAUCGCCCUGGGAUGAGCCCGCGUCGGAUUAGCUAGUUGGUGGGGUAAAGGCCUACCAAGGCGACGAUCCGUAGCUGGUCUGAGAGGAUGAUCAGCCACACUGGGACUGAGACACGGCCCAGACUCCUACGGGAGGCAGCAGUGGGGAAUAUUGGACAAUGGGCGCAAGCCUGAUCCAGCAAUGCCGCGUGAGUGAUGAAGGCCUUAGGGUUGUAAAGCUCUUUUACCCGGGAUGAUAAUGACAGUACCGGGAGAAUAAGCCCCGGCUAACUCCGUGCCAGCAGCCGCGGUAAU
Molecule: ribosomal RNA, 437 nt
Filed under: uncultured bacterium
Lineage: Bacteria
Description: bacterial SSU rRNA
Rfam family: Bacterial small subunit ribosomal RNA
Source: RNAcentral